AGAGAUGUGCUAAUACCGCAUAUUCUCUGAGGAGGAAAGCAGGGGAUCGAAAGACCUUGCGCUUUGGGAGCGGCCGAUGUCUGAUUAGCUAGUUGGUGGGGUAAAGGCCUACCAAGGCGACGAUCAGUAGUUGGUCUGAGAGGACGACCAGCCACACUGGGACUGAGACACGGCCCAGACUCCUACGGGAGGCAGCAGUGGGGAAUUUUGGACAAUGGGCGCAAGCCUGAUCCAGCAAUGCCGCGUGAGUGAAGAAGGCCUUCGGGUUGUAAAGCUCUUUCAGUCGAGAAGAAAAAGUCGUGACUAAUAAUCAUGAUUCAUGACGGUAUCAACAGAAGAAGCACCGGCUAACUACGUGCCAGCAGCCGCGGUAAUACGUAGGGCGCAAGCGUUAAUCGGAAUUACUGGGCGUAAAGGGUGCGCAGGCGGUUCUGUAAGUCAGAUGUGAAAUCCCCGGGCUUAACCUGGGAACUGCGUUUGAAACUGCAGAGCUAGAGUGCGGCAGAGGGAGGUGGAAUUCCAUGUGUAGCAGUGAAAUGCGUAGAGAUAUGGAAGAACAUCGAUGGCGAAGGCAACCUCCUGGGCUAGCACUGACGCUCAUGCACGAAAGCGUGGGGAGCAAACAGGAUUAGAUACCCUGGUAGUCCACGCCCUAAACUAUGUCAACUAGUUGUCGGGUCUUAUUAGACUUGGUAACGUAGCUAACGCGUGAAGUUGACCGCCUGGGGAGUACGGUCGCAAGAUUAAAACUCAAAGGAAUUGACGGGGACCCGCACAAGCGGUGGAUUAUGUGGAUUAAUUCGAUGCAACGCGAAAAACCUUACCUACCCUUGACAUGUCAGAAAAUUUUCAGAGAUGAAUUUGUGCCCGAAAGGGAAUCUGAACACAGGUGCUGCAUGGCUGUCGUCGGCUCGUGUCGUGAGAUGUUGGGUUAAGUCCCGCAACGAGCGCAACCCUUGUCAUUAAUUGCCAUCAUUUAGUUGGGCACUUUAAUGAGACUGCCGGUGAUAAACCGGAGGAAGGUGGGGAUGACGUCAAGUCCUCAUGGCCCUUA
Molecule: ribosomal RNA, 1054 nt
Filed under: uncultured bacterium
Lineage: Bacteria
Description: bacterial SSU rRNA
Rfam family: Bacterial small subunit ribosomal RNA
Source: RNAcentral